AGAGUCGCACCGUUUGCUUAGCGCUGCUGCUGUUCGGGAGACGGAAUCGAAGCUCUUGCUCGGUACGCGCUGAAGCGUCGGAGCUCGCAUUCGGCUCUCGAAUUCGUCCGCGAUCGAGCUCGUUCAACCACCUUGUGAUCUGCGCUGAAUCGAUUGGCGUCUCGCGAACAUGAUGUCGCCGAAGCAAACCUCGGAAGAUCGAGGAUCGCCUCAGUUCGGG
Molecule: long non-coding RNA, 220 nt
Filed under: Eucalyptus grandis
Lineage: Eukaryota; Viridiplantae; Streptophyta; Magnoliopsida; Myrtales; Myrtaceae
Description: long non-coding RNA (EGRA_LNC004330)
Source: RNAcentral